RNAcentral lists this transfer RNA (76 nucleotides) under bacterium. Its description in RNAcentral is "tRNA-His". It matches the Rfam family "tRNA". From Rfam's summary of the family: Transfer RNA (tRNA) molecules are approximately 80 nucleotides in length. Their secondary structure includes four short double-helical elements and three loops (D, anti-codon, and T loops). The record is from RNAcentral. RNAcentral also lists the same sequence under 2 other names.
GUGCUAUUAGCUCAGUAGGUAGAGCAUCAGAUUGUGGCUCUGAGGGUCGAGGGUUCGAGUCCCCCAUGGCACCCCA